AUGCCUACAUAUGUACACAUCUGUAUACAUGCACAUGCACACACACAUAUAUAUAUAGAGUACAAAUAUAUAUGAGGAAAAAAAAUAUAUAAAUUCGUUGUUGUCUGGUUAAUUAUUUGCUUGCUACCUCUGCCUUAUCCUUCUACUAUUCUUCCCUUCCCUCCCCUCCGACGGCCCCGCCUUUUUCUUAUCCUUUCACCUUCUUCAAGCGGAGUGCUGCGUCGUGUCGGUUGUCUUCCCGCAUCGUUUUCCUCUACGCAUGCGACGUUCUUUUAUCUUCUCGCGCGCUCUCCCGCUUGAAGCAAAGCAGAGCAAACACACGAAUGUGUAAGCGUGCAUCCUUCACUAAACCUGUUUCCUCCCUACUCAGAAGUCUGUUCUGUGUGUGCGUGUGUGUCUGUGCUGGAGUUAGUGUUUUGUUGGACUCUCCCCUAUGUCUGUGUUUCUGCGCCGUAAUGUGCAAUGUAUGUGUUUGCGUGCGUGUCGUUCAACGCGCAUGCUCCCUCCCCCUCCCUUCCCCCUCCCUUCCCCCUCCCUUCCCCCUCCCUCCCCCUCCCUUCCCCCUCCCUCCCCCUCCCUUCCCCCUCCCUUCCCCUCCCUUCCCCCUCCCUCCCCCUCCCUCCCCCUCCCUUCCCCCUCCCCCUCCUCCUUCUAUAGUGCUUGCCGACACUUUGGUUUCAUGUCAUCCUGUGGGAUGAAUGCUCACUUGUGUCGGGUUGUGUCUGUGGAUGUCUGCGCAGGUGUGUGAAGAAGGAACGCAAGCUCGCGGUGUCAUCGUCGCUGCCUGUCUUUCUCCUCUCUUUUCUCAUCGCUUUUAUAUGAUUAUAUACGCUAUGCAGUGCCCCUACCUAGAGAUGGUCUCUUGGUAAUGGAGAGAGGGGGCGGGGGCGAUUCCUUCUGAGCGUCACAGAAUAUGCUGGGAACGCUCCCUCCGAGAAUGUAAGGAGGCGGCGAAAAAGAUUUUGCAGGUGGCAGUGUUUUUUCUCGAUGGGCGUCUCUCUCUCUCUCUGUGCUUCAUGCCCCACCGAUGGGUGCCUUCUCAU
RNAcentral lists this unclassified non-coding RNA (1043 nucleotides) under Leishmania donovani. RNAcentral describes it as "gene:unknown". The record is from RNAcentral. Lineage: Eukaryota; Euglenozoa; Kinetoplastea; Trypanosomatida; Trypanosomatidae.